UACAGAGGUCUCAAGCGUUGUUCGGAUUCAUUGGGCGUAAAGGGUGCGUAGGCGGUGCGGUAAGUCGGAUGUGAAAUCUCGGGGCUUAACUCCGAAACUGCAUUCGAUACUACCGUGCUUGAGGACUGGAGAGGAGGCUGGAAUUUACGGUGUAGCGGUGAAAUGCGUAGAUAUCGUAAGGAAGACCAGUGGCGAAGGCGGGUCUCUGGACAGUUCCUGACGCUGAGGCACGAAAGCCAGGGGAGCAAACGGG
This 253-nucleotide ribosomal RNA is filed under the name uncultured bacterium. RNAcentral describes it as "partial 16S ribosomal RNA". It matches the Rfam family "Bacterial small subunit ribosomal RNA", at positions 524 to 776 of the family's 1533-position model. The record is from RNAcentral.